RNAcentral lists this transfer RNA (65 nucleotides) under Euplatypus parallelus. RNAcentral describes it as "tRNA-Tyr". Lineage: Eukaryota; Metazoa; Arthropoda; Insecta; Coleoptera; Curculionidae. The record is from RNAcentral.
GGUAAAAUGGCUGAAUUAGGCGAUAAACUGUAAAUUUAUUUAUGAUUUUAUAAUUUCCUUUAUCA